RNAcentral lists this ribosomal RNA (228 nucleotides) under uncultured bacterium. RNAcentral's name for it is "partial 16S ribosomal RNA". It matches the Rfam family "Bacterial small subunit ribosomal RNA", at positions 568 to 795 of the family's 1533-position model. The record is from RNAcentral.
UGUGUAGGCGGAGAUGUCAGUUGGAAGUGAAAUGUCCCGGCUUAACCGGGGACCUGCUUCCAAUACUGCAUUUCUUGAGUCAUGCAGGGGAAGACGGAAUUCCUGGUGUAGCGGUGAAAUGCGUAGAUAUCAGGAAGAACACCGGCGGCGAAGGCGGUCUUCUGGGCAUGUACUGACGCUGAGACACGAAAGCGUGGGGAGCAAACAGGAUUAGAUACCCUGGUAGUC